Molecule: ribosomal RNA, 253 nt
Filed under: uncultured bacterium
Lineage: Bacteria
Description: partial 16S ribosomal RNA
Rfam family: Bacterial small subunit ribosomal RNA
Source: RNAcentral
UACGGGGGGGGCAAGCGUUGUUCGGAAUUACUGGGCGUAAAGGGCCCGUAGGCGGCCAACUAAGUCGGACGUGAAAUCCCCAGGCUCAACCUGGGAACUGCGUCCGAUACUGGAUGGCUUGAAUUCGGGAGAGGGAUGCAGGAUUCCAGGUGUAGCGGUGAAAUGCGUAGAUAUCUGGAGGAAUACCGGUGGCGAAGGCGGCAUCCUGGACCGACAUUGACGCUGAGGAGCGAAAGCUAGGGGAGCAAACGGG